AUUGAACGCUGGCGGCAUGCCUUACACAUGCAAGUCGAACGGCAGCACGGGAGCAAUCCUGGUGGCGAGUGGCGAACGGGUGAGUAAAGUAUCGGAACGUGCCCAGUCGUGGGGGAUAACGUAGCGAAAGUUACGCUGAUACCGCAUACGACCUAUGGAUGAAAGCGGGGGAUCGCAAGACCUCGCGCGACUGGAGCGGCAGAUAUCAGAUUAGGUAGUUGGUGGGGUAAAGGCUCACCAAGCCGACGAUCUGUAGCUGGUCUGAGAGGACGACCAGCCACACUGGGACUGAGACACGGCCCAGACUCCUACGGGAGGCAGCAGUGGGGAAUUUUGGACAAUGGGCGCAAGCCUGAUCCAGCCAUGCCGCGUGCAGGAUGAAGGCCUUCGGGUUGUAAACUGCUUUUGUACGGAACGAAAAGGUUUGACUUAAUACGUUGGACUCAUGACGGUACCGUAAGAAUAAGCACCGGCUAACUACGUGCCAUCAGCCGCCGUAA
RNAcentral lists this ribosomal RNA (500 nucleotides) under uncultured bacterium. RNAcentral describes it as "partial 16S ribosomal RNA". It matches the Rfam family "Bacterial small subunit ribosomal RNA", at positions 30 to 523 of the family's 1533-position model. The record is from RNAcentral.